CCCAUUACAAGUCUGUAUCGCAGUGCGCAUGCGCAGCACCCACAAUUCAUUUCUUCCUCGUGUCUCACCCACAGCAAUCCCUCACCCUGGUCUUUCUCCUCUCUCCUGUGGAAGAGUAAGGUUAGAAGUGUGUUUGGCUGAAGCACCUGGGCAGGAAAAACAACCUCAGCAGAAGCCGAAAUGGAAAUGUUAAGCUUCAAAAAUGGAGCACCGGUCAUGUUCGUGGUACUCGGACUGGACCCCCAGCCACCUGGCUGAGCUGAUGAGCUCUGCUGAAACUGUCAAGGUUAGAGGAGUGUCAGGUUAAAGCAUCUGCUUAGGAAAUGGAGAGAAAAAAAUCUCAGCAGGAGCUGAAUGGGAAUGCUUGAGCUGAGAACAUAAGAUGUGCCUUCUUCAGGUUUCCAGCAGGUGCUUCAGAUGUCUCCUGAAAAUCCAGACAUACAUCAACAGAUAUGUCUACGUUCAGCAUGAACACCUGUUUAAUCUGCACUGACAUUUAAAUUUGGUUGUCUUCGAACUAGUCUUGACUGCAGUGUCUUCAUUGUCACUUUUGAAAUAAGUCCUAAAGAGAGAUGGGCAAAGUAUGCAAAUACCCUGAGAUUCCCCAGUGCAAAUAUUACUCAAGUAAAAGAAGUCCUAUUUACUUGUGUACUUCGGUAAAAGUACACAAAUACCAUUACUACAUAGUUUGUAUAAUCUCUCUCUUUCUCUCGGUCACUUCUGUUCAAUGUAAGAGUGUUUAUUAACUUACAGUCCAGUUUUUGGGCCAUGUUAUUCGUCCAACUUUAAAUGAUGACUAAAGCACUUUUUCUUGGGUCUUUGGGUUAAUCAAAAAAAAAAAAGAUUAACCUAGUAACCUGUGUAAGGAUAUAUCCAGUGACAAAACACCUUGUUUGAAUAAAAGUCUUUGUAAUGAAGUUGUA
Clarias gariepinus (North African catfish) is the source of this 923-nucleotide long non-coding RNA. RefSeq lists it as uncharacterized. The record is from RefSeq and is a predicted model, not a curated record. Lineage: Eukaryota; Metazoa; Chordata; Actinopteri; Siluriformes; Clariidae. The transcript has 7 exons.